RNAcentral lists this ribosomal RNA (544 nucleotides) under uncultured Bacteroidota bacterium. RNAcentral describes it as "bacterial SSU rRNA". It matches the Rfam family "Bacterial small subunit ribosomal RNA", at positions 38 to 573 of the family's 1533-position model. Lineage: Bacteria; Pseudomonadati; Bacteroidota. The record is from RNAcentral.
AGCGGCAGGCUUAAUACAUGCAAGUCGAGGGGCAGCAUGAGUGUAGCAAUACAUNUGAUGGCGACCGGCAAACGGGUGCGGAACACGUACACAACCUUCCUUUAAGUGGGGGAUAGCCCAGGGAAACUUGGAUUAAUACCCCGUAAUACCAUGAAGUGGCAUCACUUUAUAUUUAUAGCUCAGGCGCUUAAUGAUGGGUGUGCGGCUGAUUAGGUAGUUGGCGGGGUAACGGCCCACCAAGCCUUCGAUCAGUAACUGGUGUGAGAGCACGACCAGUCACACGGGCACUGAGACACGGGCCCGACUCCUACGGGAGGCAGCAGUAAGGAAUAUUGGUCAAUGGACGCAAGUCUGAACCAGCCAUGCCGCGUGGAGGAUGAAGGUCCUCUGGAUUGUAAACUUCUUUUAUUUGGGAAGAAACCCAUAGUUUCUACUGUGGUUGACGGUACCAGAUGAAUAAGCACCGGCUAACUCCGUGCCAGCAGCCGCGGUAAUACGGAGGGUGCAAGCGUUAUCCGGAUUCACUGGGUUUAAAGGGUGCGUA